This 70-nucleotide transfer RNA is filed under the name Myotis brandtii (Brandt's bat). It matches the Rfam family "tRNA". Rfam says of the family: Transfer RNA (tRNA) molecules are approximately 80 nucleotides in length. Their secondary structure includes four short double-helical elements and three loops (D, anti-codon, and T loops). Lineage: Eukaryota; Metazoa; Chordata; Mammalia; Chiroptera; Vespertilionidae. The record is from Rfam by way of RNAcentral.
GCCCUUGGCUCAGUGGAUAGAGCAUCAGCAUGUGGCUGAAGGGUCUCGGGUUCUAUUCCAGUCAAGGGCA